UACGUAGGGGGCAAGCGUUGUCCGGAAUCAUUGGGCGUAAAGAGCUCGUAGGCGGCUUGGCAAGUCGGAUGUGAAAACUCCAGGCUCAACCUGGAGCCGCCAUUCGAUACUGCUAUGGCUAGAGUCCGGUAGGGGAGUGUGGAAUUCCCGGUGUAGCGGUGAAAUGCGCAGAUAUCGGGAGGAACACCGAUGGCGAAGGCAGCACUCUGGGCCGGUACUGACGCUGAGGAGCGAAAGCGUGGGGAGCGAACAGG
RNAcentral lists this ribosomal RNA (254 nucleotides) under uncultured bacterium. Its description in RNAcentral is "partial 16S ribosomal RNA". It matches the Rfam family "Bacterial small subunit ribosomal RNA", at positions 524 to 776 of the family's 1533-position model. The record is from RNAcentral.